CUGCAUGGUUGUCGUCAGCUCGUGCCGUGAGGUGUCGGGUUAAGGUCCCAUAACGAGCGCAACCCCUACCUUUACGUUGCCAUCAGGUAAUGCUGGGGACUCUAAAGGAACUGCCUACGCAAGUAGUGAGGAAGCGGGGAUGACGUCAAAUCAGCACGGCCCUUACGUCCAGGGCUACACACGUGCUACAAUGGCCGAUACAGAGGGCAGCUACCUGGUGACAGGAUGCAAAUCUCCAAAGUCGGUCUCAGUUCGGAUCGGAGUCUGCAACCCGACUCCGUGAAGUUGGAUUCGCUAGUAAUCGCGCAUCAGCCAUGGCGCGGUGAAUACGUUCCCGGGCCUU
RNAcentral lists this ribosomal RNA (343 nucleotides) under uncultured Sphingobacteriales bacterium. RNAcentral's name for it is "bacterial SSU rRNA". It matches the Rfam family "Bacterial small subunit ribosomal RNA", at positions 1041 to 1382 of the family's 1533-position model. The record is from RNAcentral. Lineage: Bacteria; Pseudomonadati; Bacteroidota; Sphingobacteriia; Sphingobacteriales.